AAACCUAAAGGCGCAAUGAAAGUGAAGGUUCUCCUCGCGAGAACCGAGGGARGACGGGCGGUCGAGUUARCGAUCGCUCGGCACUCCCGGGGCGUCUCGUUCUCAUCGCGAGAAGAGGCGCACCAAGAGCGUACACGCUGGGACCCGAAAGAUGGUGAACUAUGCCUGGUCAGGACGAAAUUMRGGGAAACCCUGAUGGAGGUCCGUAGCGAUUCUGACGUGCAAAUCGAUCGUCGGAACUGGGUAUAGGGGCGAAAGACUAAUCGAACCAUCUAGUAGCUGGUUCCCUCCGAAGUUUCCCUCAGGAUAGCUGGCGCUCGUAGCGCACGAGUCUCAUCCGGUAAAGCGAAUGAUUAGAGGCAUUGGGGUCGAAACGACCUCAACCUAUUCUCAAACUUUAAAUGGGUGAGAUCUCCGGCUUGCUCGAAAACGACACGGUUCGCGCUCUUCGGGGCGAGGACUAUUAAGUGUCGAUGAAGCCGCGAGAGACGGAUCAGAGUGCCAAGUGGGCCAUUUUUGGUAAGC
This 525-nucleotide ribosomal RNA is filed under the name Trigonopterus wallacei. RNAcentral describes it as "eukaryotic LSU rRNA". It matches the Rfam family "Eukaryotic large subunit ribosomal RNA", at positions 704 to 1145 of the family's 3401-position model. Lineage: Eukaryota; Metazoa; Arthropoda; Insecta; Coleoptera; Curculionidae. The record is from RNAcentral.